UACAGAGACUGCAAGCGUUUAGUUCGGAUUCACUGGGCGUAAAGGGUGCGUAGGCGGUUUGGUAAGUCUUAUGUGAAAUCUACAGGCUCAACUUGUAGUCUGCAUGAGAAACUGCCGGGCUUGAGUGUGGGAGAGGUGAGUGGAAUUCCUGGUGUAGCGGUGAAAUGCGUAGAUAUCAGGAGGAACACCUGUGGCGAAAGCGGCUCACUGGACCAUAACUGACGCUGAUGCACGAAAAGCUAGGGGAGCAAACAGG
This 256-nucleotide ribosomal RNA is filed under the name uncultured bacterium. RNAcentral's name for it is "partial 16S ribosomal RNA". It matches the Rfam family "Bacterial small subunit ribosomal RNA", at positions 524 to 776 of the family's 1533-position model. The record is from RNAcentral.